UUCGCAGAAUAUCGAGCUUGAGACAAAAAUUGAGGAUGACGAUGAAGAACACAUUUACGAAGAACCGUUUGAUACAGUCGUCAACAGUCGUCCAAAUGUAAGUGGUGAGAAAAUCAUUGAACGUUAUGGGACUGUUAUGGGCCUUUUGAACUGUAAAGACGAUGAGACUAAAUUAGAAAAUUCAUCGAAAAAUUUGGAGUGCGAAAAGCCGCUUGAUGUAAUCGUCAACAGUUUUCCAAAUAAAGAAAACAACCAGAAAAUUCAGUGCAGAAUUCUGAGAAAAUAGCAGUCUUUAACAGUCAUUAUAUGCCUUUGAUUCAUGAAAUAUGAACACAAUGUUACUUAACAUUACUUAGUAUUGGAAAUGAACAAAAUACUACUUAAAUUAUUGACAAUGAAAGAAAUUAAUACGAACGAAUACCUUUGAAGACGAAAAUGAAAAAAUUGAUGAUCACAAUUGUUUAUCACUAAA
Molecule: long non-coding RNA, 472 nt
Organism: Xenia sp. Carnegie-2017
Lineage: Eukaryota; Metazoa; Cnidaria; Anthozoa; Malacalcyonacea; Xeniidae
Exons: 2
Source: RefSeq, a predicted model, not a curated record